Molecule: ribosomal RNA, 386 nt
Filed under: Leptolyngbya sp. PL47-1
Lineage: Bacteria; Bacillati; Cyanobacteriota; Cyanophyceae; Leptolyngbyales; Leptolyngbyaceae
Description: bacterial SSU rRNA
Rfam family: Bacterial small subunit ribosomal RNA
Source: RNAcentral
GCGAAAGCCUGACGGAGCAAGACCGCGUGAGGGAAGACGGCCUACUGGUUGUAAACCUCUUUUGAUAGGGAAGAACACAAUGACGGUACCUAUCGAAUCAGCCUCGGCUAACUCCGUGCCAGCAGCCGCGGUAAUACGGAGGAGGCAAGCGUUAUCCGGAAUUAUUGGGCGUAAAGCGUCCGUAGGUGGAUAUUCAAGUCAGUUGUUAAAGCGUGGAGCUUAACUCCAUAAAGGCAAUUGAAACUGAAUGUCUAGAGUGCGAUAGGGGCAAGGGGAAUUCCCAGUGUAGCGGUGAAAUGCGUAGAUAUUGGGAAGAACAUCGGUGGCGAAAGCGCCUUGCUGGGUCUGCACUGACACUGAGGGACGAAAGCUAGGGGAGCGAAUGG